Molecule: ribosomal RNA, 302 nt
Filed under: uncultured bacterium
Lineage: Bacteria
Description: partial 16S ribosomal RNA
Rfam family: Bacterial small subunit ribosomal RNA
Source: RNAcentral
GCAGCAGCCGCGGGAAUACAGAGGGUGCGAGCGUUAAUCGGAUUUACUGGGCGUAAAGCGUGCGUAGGCGGCUUUUUAAGUCGGAUGUGAAAUCCCUGAGCUUAACUUAGGAAUUGCAUUCGAUACUGGGAAGCUAGAGUAUGGGAGAGGAUGGUAGAAUUCCAGGUGUAGCGGUGAAAUGCGUAGAGAUCUGGAGGAAUACCGAUGGCGAAGGCAGCCAUCUGGCCUAAUACUGACGCUGAGGUACGAAAGCAUGGGGAGCAAACAGGAUUAGAGACCCCAGUAGUCCCUGUCUCUUAUAC